Molecule: ribosomal RNA, 498 nt
Filed under: uncultured bacterium
Lineage: Bacteria
Description: partial 16S ribosomal RNA
Rfam family: Bacterial small subunit ribosomal RNA
Source: RNAcentral
AACGAACGCUGGCGGCAGGCCUAACACAUGCAAGUCGAACGCAAUACUUCGGUAUUGAGUGGCGAACGGGUGAGUAAUACAUAAGCAACCUGGCCAUGACAGGGGGAUAACUGACGGAAACGACAGCUAAAACCGCAUAGGUAUAAACGAAGCAUUUUGUUUAUAUUAAAAAUGCUAAGGCAUCGGUGAUGGAUGGGCUUAUGGAGCAUUAGCUAGUUGGUGAGGUAGAGGCUCACCAAGGCGACGAUGCAUAGCCGGCCUGAGAGGGUGAACGGCCACACUGGGACUGAGACACGGCCCAGACUCCUACGGGAGGCAGCAGUAGGGAAUUUUCGGCAAUGGGGGGAACCCUGACCGAGCAACGCCGCGUGAAGGAAGAAGGAAUUCGUUUCGUAAACUUCUGUUAUAAAGGAAGAAAGGGAUGUAUAGGGAAUGAUACAUCUAAGACGGUACUUUAUGAGGAAGCCACGGCUAACUACGUGCCAGCCGCCGCGGUAA